CUAUGGCCAUACCACCCUGAACGCGCCCAAUCUCUUCUGAUCUCGGAAGCUAAUCAGGGUUGAGCCUGGUUAGUACUUAGAUGGGAGAAAGUGCUCCAGGUGGGGCGUGGU
This 111-nucleotide ribosomal RNA is filed under the name Prolemur simus (greater bamboo lemur). The record is from RNAcentral. Lineage: Eukaryota; Metazoa; Chordata; Mammalia; Primates; Lemuridae.